This 2331-nucleotide ribosomal RNA is filed under the name Escherichia coli. RNAcentral's name for it is "partial 23S ribosomal RNA". It matches the Rfam family "Bacterial large subunit ribosomal RNA", at positions 613 to 2925 of the family's 2925-position model. Lineage: Bacteria; Pseudomonadati; Pseudomonadota; Gammaproteobacteria; Enterobacterales; Enterobacteriaceae. The record is from RNAcentral.
UAAUGGGUCAGCGACUUAUAUUCUGUAGCAAGGUUAACCGAAUAGGGGAGCCGAAGGGAAACCGAGUCUUAACUGGGCGUUAAGUUGCAGGGUAUAGACCCGAAACCCGGUGAUCUAGCCAUGGGCAGGUUGAAGGUUGGGUAACACUAACUGGAGGACCGAACCGACUAAUGUUGAAAAAUUAGCGGAUGACUUGUGGCUGGGGGUGAAAGGCCAAUCAAACCGGGAGAUAGCUGGUUCUCCCCGAAAGCUAUUUAGGUAGCGCCUCGUGAAUUCAUCUCCGGGGGUAGAGCACUGUUUCGGCAAGGGGGUCAUCCCGACUUACCAACCCGAUGCAAACUGCGAAUACCGGAGAAUGUUAUCACGGGAGACACACGGCGGGUGCUAACGUCCGUCGUGAAGAGGGAAACAACCCAGACCGCCAGCUAAGGUCCCAAAGUCAUGGUUAAGUGGGAAACGAUGUGGGAAGGCCCAGACAGCCAGGAUGUUGGCUUAGAAGCAGCCAUCAUUUAAAGAAAGCGUAAUAGCUCACUGGUCGAGUCGGCCUGCGCGGAAGAUGUAACGGGGCUAAACCAUGCACCGAAGCUGCGGCAGCGACACUAUGUGUUGUUGGGUAGGGGAGCGUUCUGUAAGCCUGUGAAGGUGUGCUGUGAGGCAUGCUGGAGGUAUCAGAAGUGCGAAUGCUGACAUAAGUAACGAUAAAGCGGGUGAAAAGCCCGCUCGCCGGAAGACCAAGGGUUCCUGUCCAACGUUAAUCGGGGCAGGGUGAGUCGACCCCUAAGGCGAGGCCGAAAGGCGUAGUCGAUGGGAAACAGGUUAAUAUUCCUGUACUUGGUGUUACUGCGAAGGGGGGACGGAGAAGGCUAUGUUGGCCGGGCGACGGUUGUCCCGGUUUAAGCGUGUAGGCUGGUUUUCCAGGCAAAUCCGGAAAAUCAAGGCUGAGGCGUGAUGACGAGGCACUACGGUGCUGAAGCAACAAAUGCCCUGCUUCCAGGAAAAGCCUCUAAGCAUCAGGUAACAUCAAAUCGUACCCCAAACCGACACAGGUGGUCAGGUAGAGAAUACCAAGGCGCUUGAGAGAACUCGGGUGAAGGAACUAGGCAAAAUGGUGCCGUAACUUCGGGAGAAGGCACGCUGAUAUGUAGGUGAAGUCCCUCGCGGAUGGAGCUGAAAUCAGUCGAAGAUACCAGCUGGCUGCAACUGUUUAUUAAAAACACAGCACUGUGCAAACACGAAAGUGGACGUAUACGGUGUGACGCCUGCCCGGUGCCGGAAGGUUAAUUGAUGGGGUCAGCGCAAGCGAAGCUCUUGAUCGAAGCCCCGGUAAACGGCGGCCGUAACUAUAACGGUCCUAAGGUAGCGAAAUUCCUUGUCGGGUAAGUUCCGACCUGCACGAAUGGCGUAAUGAUGGCCAGGCUGUCUCCACCCGAGACUCAGUGAAAUUGAACUCGCUGUGAAGAUGCAGUGUACCCGCGGCAAGACGGAAAGACCCCGUGAACCUUUACUAUAGCUUGACACUGAACAUUGAGCCUUGAUGUGUAGGAUAGGUGGGAGGCUUUGAAGUGUGGACGCCAGUCUGCAUGGAGCCGACCUUGAAAUACCACCCUUUAAUGUUUGAUGUUCUAACGUGGACCCGUGAUCCGGGUUGCGGACAGUGUCUGGUGGGUAGUUUGACUGGGGCGGUCUCCUCCUAAAGAGUAACGGAGGAGCACGAAGGUUGGCUAAUCCUGGUCGGACAUCAGGAGGUUAGUGCAAUGGCAUAAGCCAGCUUGACUGCGAGCGUGACGGCGCGAGCAGGUGCGAAAGCAGGUCAUAGUGAUCCGGUGGUUCUGAAUGGAAGGGCCAUCGCUCAACGGAUAAAAGGUACUCCGGGGAUAACAGGCUGAUACCGCCCAAGAGUUCAUAUCGACGGCGGUGUUUGGCACCUCGAUGUCGGCUCAUCACAUCCUGGGGCUGAAGUAGGUCCCAAGGGUAUGGCUGUUCGCCAUUUAAAGUGGUACGCGAGCUGGGUUUAGAACGUCGUGAGACAGUUCGGUCCCUAUCUGCCGUGGGCGCUGGAGAACUGAGGGGGGCUGCUCCUAGUACGAGAGGACCGGAGUGGACGCAUCACUGGUGUUCGGGUUGUCAUGCCAAUGGCACUGCCCGGUAGCUAAAUGCGGAAGAGAUAAGUGCUGAAAGCAUCUAAGCACGAAACUUGCCCCGAGAUGAGUUCUCCCUGACCCUUUAAGGGUCCUGAAGGAACGUUGAAGACGACGACGUUGAUAGGCCGGGUGUGUAAGCGCAGCGAUGCGUUGAGCUAACCGGUACUAAUGAACCGUGAGGCUUAACCUU